UACAGAGGGGGCAAGCGUUAUUCGGAAUUAUUGGGCGUAAAGGGCGCGUAGGCGGCCUGGCAAGUGGAAGGUGAAAUCCCUCGGCUUAACCGAGGAACUGCCCUCCAAACUGCUUGGCUUGAGUCCGGGAGAGGUGAGUGGAAUUCCCAGUGUAGCGGUGAAAUGCGUAGAUAUCGGAAGGAACACCUGUGGCGAAAGCGGCUCACUGGACCAUAACUGACGCUGAGGCGCGAAAGCUAGGGGAGCAAACAGG
Molecule: ribosomal RNA, 253 nt
Filed under: uncultured bacterium
Lineage: Bacteria
Description: partial 16S ribosomal RNA
Rfam family: Bacterial small subunit ribosomal RNA
Source: RNAcentral